Long non-coding RNA from Protopterus annectens (West African lungfish), 330 nucleotides. RefSeq lists it as uncharacterized. The record is from RefSeq and is a predicted model, not a curated record. Lineage: Eukaryota; Metazoa; Chordata; Ceratodontiformes; Protopteridae. The transcript has 3 exons.
AGAGCGAGAAACAAUCAGUAGCAAUAGCUUAUUUAGAGGUUGCAAGUUGCAAGUUGGGAUUCGGGACCAUUUCCAACUUCCUUGGUGGAUGUUAUUAUUUUUAAUUUAUACUGGUGGGUUUUUUUUGGCUUGCUUGUGGUGGCUGCAGUGAGAGAGAGAGAGAUCGCAGAGCAGAGAGGAGUCCAGAGGACGACUAUUAUUACAUAAACAAACUGAGAGUUCAUCCGUACAGCCAAGUUGAACACAGAUGGACUAUUAUGCUAAAGAGAAGAUGGGGUGAAUUUCUCCUGUACCAAAGGAGGAUGAACUGUCUCCCAAGAUGCAAGGGUG